GAAGAAGUUUGAAUUUUUUGAAGAAUUUAUACAUCUCCUCUAGCUCUUCUAGUUUAUGUGUGCAAAGCUGUUCAUAGUAGCCUUGAGUAAUCUUUUGUAUUUCUGUGGUAUUAGUUGUAAUAGUUCCCCUUUAAUUUCUAA
Molecule: long non-coding RNA, 141 nt
Organism: Sapajus apella (tufted capuchin)
Lineage: Eukaryota; Metazoa; Chordata; Mammalia; Primates; Cebidae
Exons: 3
Source: RefSeq, a predicted model, not a curated record